GCGGAGAGAGCGCCCGGCGCGCGGGGCGGGGCGCACGGAGCCGGCGCUCUGUAGAGCGCCCCCUGCGGGUGAGAGGAUGGAGUGCCGGCCGCGCAGCCUCCACCUAAGCAGGUCAGCCAAGGGGCGGGCCCGCCGCCGACUUCCUCACACACCUCUUAAAAAGCACAGCGAAGGCGCCUGCCCGGGCUCACACUGGUUUCAGUUUCCAAAGGCAGGUGUGAAGUCAAAGAAUAACACUUAACUUUGCCCUUGAGAAUCUUCAACUCUGGUGC
This 272-nucleotide long non-coding RNA is filed under the name Dasypus novemcinctus (nine-banded armadillo). RNAcentral's name for it is "lncRNA (ENSDNOG00000050401.1)". The record is from RNAcentral. Lineage: Eukaryota; Metazoa; Chordata; Mammalia; Cingulata; Dasypodidae.